Molecule: ribosomal RNA, 340 nt
Filed under: Enterobacter sp. MDT184
Lineage: Bacteria; Pseudomonadati; Pseudomonadota; Gammaproteobacteria; Enterobacterales; Enterobacteriaceae
Description: bacterial SSU rRNA
Rfam family: Bacterial small subunit ribosomal RNA
Source: RNAcentral
UCUUGACAUCCAGAGAACUUWGCAGAGAUGSUUUGGUGCCUUCGGGAACUYUGAGACAGGUGCUGCAUGGCUGUCGUCAGCUCGUGUUGUGAAAUGUUGGGUUAAGUCCCGCAACGAGCGCAACCCUUAUCCUUUGUUGCCAGCGGUUAGSCCGGGAACUCAAAGGAGACUGCCAGUGAUAAACUGGAGGAAGGUGGGGAUGACGUCAAGUCAUCAUGGCCCUUACGAGUAGGGCUACACACGUGCUACAAUGGCGCAUACAAAGAGAAGCGACCUCGCGAGAGCAAGCGGACCUCAUAAAGUGCGUCGUAGUCCGGAUUGGAGUCUGCAACUCGACUCC